CGGGACGGGUGAGUAAUGUCUGGGAAACUGCCUGAUGGAGGGGGAUAACUACUGGAAACGGUAGCUAAUACCGCAUAACGUCGCAAGACCAAAGAGGGGGACCUUAGGGCCUCUUGCCAUCGGAUGUGCCCAGAUGGGAUUAGCUAGUAGGUGGGGUAACGGCUCACCUAGGCGACGAUCCCUAGCUGGUCUGAGAGGAUGACCAGCCACACUGAAACUGAGACACGGUCCAG
Molecule: ribosomal RNA, 233 nt
Filed under: uncultured bacterium
Lineage: Bacteria
Description: partial 16S ribosomal RNA
Rfam family: Bacterial small subunit ribosomal RNA
Source: RNAcentral